Molecule: unclassified non-coding RNA, 329 nt
Filed under: soil metagenome
Description: partial contains 5.8S ribosomal RNA, internal transcribed spacer 2, and large subunit ribosomal RNA
Rfam family: 5.8S ribosomal RNA (bases 1-121)
Source: RNAcentral
GAUGAAGAACGUAGCGAAAUGCGAUAAGUAAUGUGAAUUGCAGAAUUCAGUGAAUCAUCGAAUCUUUGAACGCACAUUGCGCCCCCUGGUAUUCCGGGGGGGCAUGCCUGUUCGAGCGUCAUUUCAACCCUCAAGCUCUGCUUGGUAUUGAGUCCAUGUCAGCAAUGGCAGGCUCCAAAAUCAGUGGCGGCGCCGCUGGGUCCUGAACGUAGUAAUAUCUCUCGUUACAGGUGCUCGGCGUGCUUCUGCCAAAACCCCAAUUUUUCUAUGGUUGACCUCGGAUCAGGUAGGGAUACCCGCUGAACUUAAGCAUAUCAAUAAGCGGAGGA